AUACAUCGGAUGACUGAAUCAAGAAUAGCAUCAACUAUUAUAUGUACUCCCUUCAUCUAACCUAAUUCUAGUUCGGACUCGAGAGUAGGAGGCUUAUGUUAUGGACAAAAAAAAUUUUUCUUGAUAAAGUUAGUGUACAGGGAAGCUAGGGCAGGUCUAAUCUUGAUGCUAGCCGAUCAAAGGUACUUGAGCCAAACUUAUCUGGUAU
RNAcentral lists this long non-coding RNA (208 nucleotides) under Elaeis guineensis (African oil palm). RNAcentral's name for it is "long non-coding RNA (EGUI_LNC038503)". The record is from RNAcentral. Lineage: Eukaryota; Viridiplantae; Streptophyta; Magnoliopsida; Arecales; Arecaceae.